UACGGAGGGUGCAAGCGUUAUCCGGAUUCACUGGGUUUAAAGGGUGUGUAGGCGGGCAUUUAAGUCAGUGGUGAAAUCUCCAGGCUCAACCCGGAAACUGCCAUUGAUACUAUUUGUCUUGAAUAUCGUUGAGGUAGGCGGAAUAUAUCAUGUAGCGGUGAAAUGCUUAGAUAUGAUAUAGAACACCGAUUGCGAAGGCAGCUUGCUAAACGAUUAUUGACGCUGAGGCACGAAAGCGUGGGGAUCAAACAGG
This 253-nucleotide ribosomal RNA is filed under the name uncultured bacterium. RNAcentral's name for it is "partial 16S ribosomal RNA". It matches the Rfam family "Bacterial small subunit ribosomal RNA", at positions 524 to 776 of the family's 1533-position model. The record is from RNAcentral.